Triplophysa dalaica is the source of this 846-nucleotide long non-coding RNA. RefSeq lists it as uncharacterized. The transcript is spliced from 4 exons. The record is from RefSeq and is a predicted model, not a curated record. NCBI's taxonomy places the organism in Eukaryota, Metazoa, Chordata, Actinopteri, Cypriniformes, Nemacheilidae.
ACGCAAUUCAAACCGGUACAAAUAUCGUGUUGUGUUGCCCUUCAGAGCGAAAGUCGUCAGGAUACGACAUCAUCCCGCUGUGAUUGUUACAUCGCCAUUCAUUUGGCGCUAAAUGUACACGAAAUCGCUCGCUUUGUUGACAUUUCUUAGAAAAACAACAUUCAAAUCUGGAGCGUGGGGCCUUCCACACCCAAAGAACAAGAGUCUGCUGUCUGUAACUAACCUGAUGUCAAAAACACAAACUCUCAUCGGAACACAGCUGCACUCUAAGAAUCACACAAAUUCGUGAUUUCAAGGACGUUGUGGUCUGUACAGUUUCUCAGGAUUUUUAUUUUGCGCGCACAAUAGUCUGUAGUGUCGAUGAGGUGCUCUUAUUUACUGCUUUAGGUCGGGCGGCGUGUCGGGUGAAUUUAAAUAGAACUGGCAACAGUGUUGUGUUCUUAAGACCUCAAAUAUAACCAUGUGGUUAGACACACAUAGUACAUCCAGCUUCCUCCCACCGUGUCUAGUCAGAAACCAGCCGUGGUUUGGGUGAGACAGUCUCUCCAUGCACAUGAAGUUUUACAAGUCAACACAUCCAGAGAAAGGGAGUGGAGGAAAACAUAAGCUCUCUUUAAACAUGCAGAACAAAGAGAUGUAUACAGUAAAGGAGGACAUUUACAGGGUCUUCCUGCUGAGGGCGGAGUAUCCUGACAUUUACUCACAACACACCUAUGAUCUAUUGUCCUUGUGCCACAAUCACCUCCUCCAGGAACCACAGACAACAUGAGGAAACCUGAUUCAAUAGCCCCGAUGACCCACGAUGUGCCUAACUUUCAAUCUUUAUAAAAACGAAUGCUUAACUGA